GCAAGAGUGGGGCGCCGAGGAGGGAAAGCACUGUGUGUUUAGGGGCCAGGAGUGAGCCACCUACGCCUGCUGGUGGGUGCAUUUAAACAAGCGAAGACACACAAGUACAAAGCUAGGCUGGCAUUGGAAUGGAAGACCUGAGCGCCAGGGGGAGGCAGUCAAUUUGGUUUUCAAGGGAAAAACACAAAGAAGGGGGUGCAGAAGUGUGAAAUGAGGAGACCGGAAGAGCACAGGUC
Molecule: non-coding RNA, 236 nt
Organism: Vicugna pacos (alpaca)
Lineage: Eukaryota; Metazoa; Chordata; Mammalia; Artiodactyla; Camelidae
Source: RefSeq, a predicted model, not a curated record